Molecule: ribosomal RNA, 253 nt
Filed under: uncultured bacterium
Lineage: Bacteria
Description: partial 16S ribosomal RNA
Rfam family: Bacterial small subunit ribosomal RNA
Source: RNAcentral
UACGUAGGGUGCGAGCGUUGUCCGGAAUUACUGGGCGUAAAGAGUUCGUAGGCGGUUUGUCGCGUCGUUCGUGAAAACUUGGGGCUUAACUCCAAGCGUGCGGGCGAUACGGGCAGACUUGAGUACUACAGGGGAGACUGGAAUUCCUGGUGUAGCGGUGAAAUGCGCAGAUAUCAGGAGGAACACCGGUGGCGAAGGCGGGUCUCUGGGCCGAUACUGACGCUGAGGAGCGAAAGCUAGGGGAGCAAACAGG